GUUUGUUUGUUUUUCUGAGAUGGAGACUCGCUAUGCCACCCAGGCUGCAGUGCAGCAACAUGAUUUCAGCUCACUGCAACCUCUACCUCCCAGGUUCAAGUGAUUGUGUACCUCAUCUUCCUGGGCAGCUGGAACUACAGGUGCACGCCACCAUGCCUGGCUAAGUUUUGUAUUUUUCAUAGAGACGGCGUUUCACCAUGUUGGCCAGGCUGCUCUUGAACUCCUGACCUUACGUGAUUCUCUCACCUCGGUCUCCCAAAGUGCUGGGAUUACAGGCAUGAGAUACCACACCUGGCUUUGAUGUCCAUUUUAGAAAGUACUAUGGGCUGGGUGCAGUGGCUCACAUCUGUAAUCCCAGCACUUUGGGAGAUCGAGGUGAGCAGAUCACCUGAGGUCAGGAGUUUGAGACCAGCCUCUCUAACAUGGAGAAACCCUGUCUCUACUAAAAAUACAAAAUUGGCCCAGAGUGGUGGCGCAUGCCUGUAAUCCCAACUACUCAGGAGGCUAAGGCAGGAGAAUUGCUUGAACCCAGAAAGCAGAGGUUGCACUAAGCUGAGAUUGCAACAUUGCCCUCCAGCCUGAGCAACAAGAGUAAAACUCCAUCUCAAAAAAAAAAAAAAAAGUACUAUGUAGGCCAGGCGCAGUGCCUCAACCCUGUAAUCCCAAGUAGCUGGGAUUACAGGUGCGCACCAUCAUACCCGAUUAAUUUUUUUUUUUUUUUGGCAGAGAUAAGGAUCUCACUAUGUUGUGCAGGCUGGUCUAGAACUCCUGGACUCAAGCAAUCCCCCUGCCUCAGUCUUCUAAAGUUCUGGGAUUACAGGCAUGAACCACUGUACCCAGCCUCUCUUUCUUCAUUACUUUGCUUCCUUCCCUGAUUCUGUACGUAUCUCUCAUUCUCCCCUUCUCUCUCUAGCUCUUGUUUUAUUUUCCCCCGGGGUUCUGCUCCUCAUUUUGUACCUCUCUCCUCUCCUGCUGUUUAUCCCCUUCUUCACUCUAUUCCUUCUCUUCCACCUCUUCUGCUCCAUCCUUGUAACUUAUCUAACAUCUUGCUGCUCUUCUCCCCAAUCUUUUGAUCAUCCUCUAUCUCUAUAUGGACAGAAAUUUAAAAAUAAUAAGUACUGCAUUUAUUCACUCCAAGAAAAG
This 1143-nucleotide long non-coding RNA is filed under the name Homo sapiens (human). Its description in RNAcentral is "HSALNT0261951". Lineage: Eukaryota; Metazoa; Chordata; Mammalia; Primates; Hominidae. The record is from RNAcentral.